This 776-nucleotide ribosomal RNA is filed under the name uncultured Neocallimastigales. Its description in RNAcentral is "partial large subunit ribosomal RNA". It matches the Rfam family "Eukaryotic large subunit ribosomal RNA", at positions 24 to 649 of the family's 3401-position model. The record is from RNAcentral. Lineage: Eukaryota; Fungi; Neocallimastigomycota; Neocallimastigomycetes; Neocallimastigales.
UACGACUACAUAUCAGGCAUAUCAAUAAGCGGAGGAAAAGAAACUAACAAGGAUUCCCUUAGUAACGGCGAGUGAAGCGGGAAGAGCUCAAAUUUGAAAUCUUCAAGGUUCUACCUUGACGAAUUGUAGUUUAAAGAAGUGUUUUCUGUUAGAUGAGUAGCAAAAGUUCCUUGGAAUGGGACAUCAUAGAGGGUGAGAAUCCCGUAUUUGGUUAUUCAUUCUAGCUUUGUGAUACACUUUCAAAGAGUCGGAUUGUUUGGGAAUGCAGUCCAAAAUGGGUGGUAAAUUUCAUCUAAAGCUAAAUAUUGGCGAGAGACCGAUAGCGAACAAGUACCGUGAGGGAAAGAUGAAAAGAACUUUGAAAAGAGAGUUAAACAGUACGUGAAAUUGUCAAAAGGGAAGCGUUUGACACCAGUGUUGUUUUUCCGAAAAAUCAAUUACGAAUGGCUUGAUUUUGUGUUGUAUUGACCUUAUCAGCUUUCUGCACUUUUUUCGAGUCUUUCUUAAUGCACUUUUCGGUUAACAAGUCAACAUCAAUUUCUUUUGUUGUAAAAGAGUAUCCGGAAGGUGGCUUUCUUUUCGGAGAAAGUGUUUAUAGCCCUAUACUUCUACAAUCGGAGAGAUUGAGGUCUGCAGCGUAGAUCCUUCGGGGUUAGAUACACUUUGUGCUAAGUUGUAGCUUUUCAUAGACAACUUGUUGACUAUGUUUAGUCAUGCGGCUUACUCGCUUAUGCUAUUUUACCUACGCUUAGGAUGUUGAGUAGCGACAUACGCAC